UAUUCCAUGAUAGUGGUACCCUAACUGAACC
Molecule: non-coding RNA, 31 nt
Filed under: Homo sapiens (human)
Lineage: Eukaryota; Metazoa; Chordata; Mammalia; Primates; Hominidae
Source: RNAcentral